CCUACGGGGGGCUGCAGUGAGGAAUCUUGCGCAAUGGGGGCAACCCUGACGCAGCGACACAGCGUGGAGGAUGAAGGUCUUCGGAUUGUAAACUCCUUUUAUAUGGGAAGAAUAAAUGACUGUACCAUAUGAAUAAGUACCUGCUAACUACGUGCCAGAAGCAUCGGUGAUGCGUAGGGUACAAACGUUAUCCGGAUUUACUGGGCGUAUAGAGAUGCGUAGGCGGUUUGAUAAGUCUUGAGUUAAAGACCUCGGCUCAACCGAGGGAAAGCUUUCGAAACUAUCAGACUUGAGACAUAGAUGGGUGAACGGAAUUCCGAGUGGAGUGGUGAAAUACGUUGAUAUUCGGAGGAACAUCAGUAGCGAAGGCGGUUCACUGGCUAUUGUCUGACGCUAAGGCUCGAAAGCGUGGGUAGCAAACCGGCUUAGAUACCCGUGUAGUC
Molecule: ribosomal RNA, 443 nt
Filed under: uncultured bacterium
Lineage: Bacteria
Description: bacterial SSU rRNA
Rfam family: Bacterial small subunit ribosomal RNA
Source: RNAcentral